Molecule: ribosomal RNA, 301 nt
Filed under: uncultured bacterium
Lineage: Bacteria
Description: partial 16S ribosomal RNA
Rfam family: Bacterial small subunit ribosomal RNA
Source: RNAcentral
CAGUCGCCGCGGUAAUUCGUAGGGUGCGAGCGUUAAUCGGAAUUACUGGGCGUAAAGCGUGCGCAGGCGGUUGUGUAAGACAGGUGUGAAAUCCCCGGGCUUAACCUAGGAACUGCGCUUGUGACUGCACAGCUAGAGUAUGGCAGAGGGGGGUGGAAUUCCACGUGUAGCAGUGAAAUGCGUAGAGAUGUGGAGGAACACCGAUGGCGAAGGCAGCCCCCUGGGCCAAUACUGACGCUCAUGCACGAAAGCGUGGGGAGCAAACAGGAUUAGAUACCCCCGUAGUCCCUGUCUCUUAUAC